UCCGGCGGCGGGUGCGGCGCGGGCGUGGGCACUGCGGCCGCCUCUCUCUCCUCGCGUGCCCAGCGUCCAUCCUUUCCGCGGACCCACACCCGCAGGCCGCCGGGGGGCGGGGGAUGCCGGGCUGCCGCAUCAGCGCCUGCGGCCCAGGGGCUCAGGAAGGGACGGCAGAACCGGGGUCCCCCCCGCCGCCGCCCCGGGAGCCCCUGUCGUCCCUUCAGCCCCCGCCCCCAACUCCGACCUUGACCCCGACCCCAGCUCAGUCCCGGCCGCUGCCGGAGGCGGCCCAGGCGUCAGCUGCGCAGGCCGAGGGUCAGGAGCUGCAGCGCUGGCGCCAGAGCGCUAGUGGGGGCGCUGGGGUCACCGGGGCGGCGGGGGGCGCCGGCGGUGGCUCCGGAGCUGCGGCGGGGGCUGGGGGCCGCGCGCUGGAGCUAGCCGAAGCGCGGCGGCGGCUGUUGGAGGUGGAGGGCCGCCGGCGGCUGGUGUCGGAGCUGGAGAGCCGCGUGCUGCAGCUACACCGAGUCUUUCUGGCCGCCGAGCUGCGCCUGGCGCACCGCGCAGAGAGCCUGAGCCGCCUGAGCGGCGGCGUGGCGCAGGCCGAGCUCUACCUGGCGGCGCACGGGUCGCGCCUCAAGAAGGGCUCGCGUCGUGGCCGCCGCGGCCGCCCGCCGGCGCUGCUGGCCUCUGCUCUCGGCCUGGGGAGCUGCGUGCCCUGGGGCGCCGGGCGGCUGCGGCGCGGCCAUGGCCCCGAGCCCGACUCGCCCUUCCGCCGCAGCCCGCCCCGCGGCCCCGCUUCCCCCCAACGCUGAGCUCAGGCGCCCGGACCCCUGGCCACCCAGGUCGGGCCAUCACCGAGGUGCCAACCAACGGAUUGAGGAUGCCGGCAGGAUGGACGGUGUCACCUAUGCUGAUGAACAGACUGACCCACGACAGGAAGAGACAUACUGGGGGCCAGGAGCCCAGUAAAGGAGGCUGAGGUGCGGUGUUAGUGGCUGGUGGUUUCAAGGGGCGGUGGGGCUGCAGGGCCCAGGAUCUCCUGUCCCUGGGGCUUCUGGCGUCUGCUGAGCCCUUAAUAAGGCUGUCCACUUUCCGUGGCCGCCUCUUGCAGACCACCAGGGGGUAAGGGGCAGCACGAAGUUCCUGUUAUAGAGUUGGACAAAUGGAGGGUGCUCAACUCCCAGGAGGGAUUUAUUUGGUGGCAAACUUUUGCCAGCUGCUGCCGCUGCACUGGCGCAACACCGAACCCUCACCUCUACUUUCCUUGCCUUUUCUGGAUCCCUCGGGGCUGUAAGAAGUCUUGCCCUUGAGGCUGCUGUUUUCUGGCACUUCGAGAAAACAGCAGCCUCAAGCCUCAACAAUAUCAGGACAGAAUAAUGAGGUCCUAGGAUGGGGUGGGGGGUGGCACAGGACUGUAUGACUGAGUUCUCUUCUGAGCCCCUUUACCAUUUGGGGAGAUAGAAUCCCAGAGAAUUUGAGGAUUUGUCCCCAUCAUACUUAAACUUAGACCCUCUGCUUCUUGGAAACAGAGCUUUUCUCAUGUUUCAUGCAGCUUCGUUAAGUCUGAGAUAAUUAGGAUGGGAUAUUUGGCACUUACUCACCUAGCGGCCCUUCUCCCAACUCAUCUCUAAGGUGGCUCUGCCAGUGAUGGCGCCAGGUGUGACACCCUUUAACAGCCCCAAGGGGGCAGGUAUGGCAUCAUCUUCCAGAAAGGUGGGGCUUUAAAGGGCCAGACUAGAAAUAUGAUCUGCUUCUUCCUGUGCAGAUGCCCUUCAGAUCCUUCAUUCCUCUGCCCCCACUCAUCUGUGAUGGCUUGGUCCUUGCUUCCGUGCUCAUAGAUAAUUGCACCUUCACUUGUUAGUCUGUCAGGUAGGUAUUACUACCUCCCAGAAGGGCUAUUUGGAAAUUAAGGGCAAAGGACUGUCUUCUUCCACUGUAAGUCAUGAAAAGAUAUUUUACUCUUUUAAAUCACACCUACAGCCACACACUGCUUCUGCAUGGAGCCAGGAGCUAAUUUAAAGUCCUCAUUUUACAGAACGGAGAGGGAUUUUCUCAAGGUCACUUGCCAGGAAGGGACAGAACAAGGAACCCAGUCCUCUGUGUAUCCACAUAAUAUUCUAUACUGGGGCUAGAGAGAGCUGACCUCUGGGCCCAUCUAUAGUGUGACCAAAAACAACUCUGCCCCAUCUUUGAGUCAGUGUCCUCCUCUUUGACUGUAGCUGUCCUUCUUUGUAUCAGGGCUUGAGACUAGAGGGAAGGAAAGUGAUGAAUCUGUCAGUCUCAGGAAUCUGACUGUGAGUGGUGAAAGGUUAGCUCCAUUGCGGUGAUAGACAGGGACCCUCAUCUGCCCCCCCCCCCCAAUCGGCUCUUCCUUUUCCUAGGUAACAAACUUUUUGGCUGGUUUCCCAGCUAACAACUAGGCCUUCUUGAACCCCUGUUUAGCUGGAGGAAAGCUCUAUCUCAGAGCUCUUGAGAAAGUUUGGGGACCAGGGAAACAGUGAGGAGCCUUGGCAUCUUCUAGUCUCUCGGGAGAAAGAGGACCUUCCAAAGCCACUCUGGUCAUUUCGGGUCCAAAGACCAGGACUUUCUGGAGGUGACACAGUGAGGGAGCUCAGGCAGCAGUGCUGGGCUGCAACCAGGACUGUUUGGUUUCUGGGUCGCAGGAGCAGUUGGUCCAGAGGAGCUUUUAGCUAAUGGCAUGAAGUGCUCUGUGCCAUCAGUUUUGCAUUUCUCUGGGAUUUGUUGGUAAUCAGCUUUAUCCUGAUUUGAGGGGGAGGUAGGUGGAUUCGUAGAGAAUUAGAGAUGAUACUCACAGGAGAAAGGGGUGGGUAUGUGGAGAUUAGUCCUGAUGUCACAGACAUCUCUGUCCCUUCCCUUCACUUCCAGGUGCCCCACUGCUUGCUACCAAGGACCUAGGCCCAGGCAUAAAGAGCUCAGUGACUUAAACCCCAGCUCCUGGUUAGUGUUUUUUCCACUGCUCCUCAGCCAACUAAUAAAAGUCACCUUCCCACUCAUGCCUGACUGCCACCACCCCACCCCCCGCCAUAGAGCUUCCUGACUCCAUUUUUUCCUCAAUCAACAAAUAUUGAUGUCAGUCCAGGGUUUUCAGAAUCAGAUCAGAGAAUCUCUGCUUCUGAGAGCUUGUUUUCCAGCCCUCUUCCAGGCAGACUUCCUUGGCUUCACCAUCCCAGAGGACCCUUGGGGUCUAGAAGUUUGUGUUGUUGGAAGGCAAUUUUUUUAGACCUCCACUAAUAACUAGCCCUUUGGCAAGAGACAGACCCUUCCCUUCCUCCUGUGACUUUCUGAACACUUUCUCAGUGGCCAUUGGACUGAGUACAGGAAUCUUGUGGAGCCUGUACUUUGAGGACACUGAGGCUUUCGUGAUUGAGGACUGAGGGGAAACAGGAGCCUUUCUUCAGGCUGGAGCGUGGGGCUUGGAGACAGUUCAGGGAUCUAGUAUGGAACCUUGCUGCUCCACAUCCCCAGGAUUAGCCUCUUCCCUCUCUUGGCAGAGCUCAGCAGUAUGUGGGUGCUGCCACCAGAGGGCAGUGUGGGGCUACUUCUUGAGACGUGGAGGCGUGGUCUGGAUCGGGUUGGAUCCCCGGUGGUGCCGCCACAAACCAUCCCCUUUCCUGUAGUCCCGGGGUUUCCUUGACUUUGAGCUGUAAGGGUGUGCAGAACCAGCGGGUGGUGGCGGUCGGAUCGGCCCGGGGGUCGGGGUGUAAUUCCAGUGAUGGCUUCCUGGGUGGUCAAGCUGGAAACUCAACUUGUGUGCCUCUUAAGUAGGGGCAGGGAGAGGCGCAGAGGUGGCCCAGCUCUUCAGGAAGGACCUUUCCUUUAGGGAUGACUUCCUGGAAAGAGGUUACCCCUCUGAGUAGAAGCCCAGAAUUCUUUCGCUAUUUACAUAUUUGUGUGAUGCUGAGGAUGGAACCCAGUGCCUCAUACAUGCUAGGCAAGGCCUCUAUCACUGAGCCACAGCCCCAGCCCAGCCCCGCCCCAGGUCGGGUGUUUUUUUUUUUUUUUUUUUUUUGAGACAGGGUAUCGCUUAAUUUCCCAGUCUGUCCUCGAUUUUGCAAUCCUCCUGCCUCAGUCCCUGGAUUACAGGGGUGUGUCCCCAUGGCGCUAUUCAUAGAUUUUGUUACAAUGAUAAUUGAUCAGAACAUCCUGUCCUGGCACCACCUAGCAACAGAGGUGGUCUAGAGAUUAGGCUGAACUGAGAGGUUGUGUCUGAACUGCUCCAGUCCUACAAUGAGCAGUGACCUGGAGGAGCCCGACCCUACAGCCAAAUCCCUUGAGAACAAUUCAGGUGUCCCUGAGCUGGAGAACUGAAGGAGAGGCUCCCAGUUUUAUGGCUUGCCAGAGAGGAAGUAUUUAGGAAAGCUGGGAAAUUCCCAAUCUAUUUCUUCUCCCAUUAUUCCCUGACCACACCCUGGCCAGGAGUGAUGGGGGAGGGGAAGCCUUGGGUCUGGAAUAGUAAAUUAACUACCUCCUCCAUGACAGGCACUGUGCUAAGCACUUCACACCCAUUAUUUGUUUUUUUUUUUUUCUCCCAACCACUCUGCAAAAUAAAGGUUAUCCCCAUUUCCACAGACGAGGAUAACCAGGGUCAGGGAGGGCAGAAGACUUAGUCAAAGACAUAGAACCUGUAAGUGAACCCUUAAACAUUAGGCAUGCUAAUAAUGGCUCCAUUGCCAGGGGUAUCACUGGGCUCUCACCUGGCAGGUGACAAGAGUAACACACUCCCUGGUGUACAAAAAGGGCCCAGGUGAAACAAAAUGACCUGAGAUUCAGUACUGGCCUGAAACUUUUCAGUUGAGGAAUUUUGGGCAAUGACUUCUCUUUUCCAAGUCAGUUUCUUCUGUUUGUUUUUGUACUGGGCUGGAGGUGCCUAGGAUGGAGCUAACUUCUGGGCGUUAAAUGAGAAGUCCCACUAAGUGCCUAGCACAUACUGGAGGUCUGUGCAUGAUGGAACCACUCUGCCUAGGCCAGAAGAGGCUGCCAGAACAGCCUCUAGUCUGUGGGGCAGGGUGGGCCUUGGCUUCUCUACAGCAGAGCAGCUCUACAUCAGGAAUCCCUGGAACGUCCCUCCCCUCCACUGGGCCCUGGAGAACUCCUUAAGGGGAGAGGUGGAGGAGAGGCAGGCUUUUCAUCCCAGGAACAUUCCAUUCUAGCUGCUCAGACCAGUGGGGAUCCCAGCCAAGGACAAAGGCCCAAGGGAACCUCUGCUUUCUCCUUGAGCCCCUCCUUAAGAGGGGCCUUUGUGGAAAGCUGGUGCCAGAGGUAGUCGCUGAAGUGUUGGGCUGGGGUUGGGUGACUGUGGGAAAGAGGUCAUUAAAACUCUUGGAAUUAUUCUUUCCAGCUCCUCCUAGCUCCUCAGAGCCUCUACUCUAUGGAUCUGAACUCCUAGAUUCUGCUCCUUCCCUGGACACCUUCAGGAAGACUUUGAGAAUUGCCCCUACCUGACCUCAGUGCCCUCCUGUCUGGAGCCACCACUUCACCAUGGCAAAGGGCUGGGUUCUGGGGAACUUGCCCACACACUAUGAAUUUCUCUACAUGCACCAUAUUUGCCUUUGCUCUGUAUGAUUGAAGAUGGUAACACAGGGCCCUGAGAUGCAAUCAGAUUAUUUGAGAGUGUAGCAAACAUUUUCAAAGUGACAACAAAAAGGACCUCUCUUUAAAGGUAGAGUCAUCAUUCUUAAGUCACAGAACAGCUGGAGUCCCCAUCUGGUAGAUAUCAGUUGCUUUUGAAUCUGAUGUUUGAGGGAAAACCCUGGUCUGAGAAAUGCCUGUUUCCCUGCCCACUGUCCUCUUCUCCCCAUAUGAGGGUGUGCCUGGGGCCCCUCAAGACAAUCAGCUGCUGCCUCCCAGGGGACACACCCCUUUCUCUGGAAGAGGUAGUGGCAACAUAAAACUCCUAAGCAACAUUUUAAAUACAAGAAGACUAUAUAUUUAUUCAUAAAGUAUCCUGCUAAAGAGGGAAAGUGCACAUUUAUUCACAUACAGCUCAGAACUUGUAAAAUUCUGCAAGCAAAUGGAUAUUGAAUCAGUCCCCUGACAUAUGCGUUCAGGAAGAAUAAAUUUCAAUAAUAUGAGGCCAAGGUGUGUGGUUUUGAGGUCCCCUUUGCAAGUGUCUUUGCUGCCUUCCCUUUGUGUCUGUCACUGCUCUUUCAGUUGACAGUUCCAUGAGCAGAUUCUGUUUAAUUUGGCAGUCUGUGCCUGUCAACUGGUUUGCAGAGACUGAUACCUUCCUUGACCUGGUUCACAGUUCACCCUCCCAAAGAAGUCGCCUCAGUUAAAAGAUCUGAUGUGGAAACUGAGGGACAGGAAUGUGUGUGUGAGAUUGUAUGACGAGGGGGGAGGUUGUCCCCAUUAUUGAUAACAUGGCAUCAUGACAGCCUAUGGGGUUGUUAGUGACUGCUUGUCUAGCAGGGUCCCCAGAGGAGACAGGGCACACUCAAACUGGGAAGUUUUAGCAAGUACUUUUUCCAACAGUGGGUGCUGGGCUUAUUAAUUAAGAAACUAACAAGUUGACUAACUGUAGCUCCAUGGUAGAGCCCUUACCUAGCAUGAUGAGGCCCUGGGUUCCAUCCUCAGCACAGGAAACAAACCAACAGGGAAGGAAAAGAAAUUAGCCAGGGAUGGUGCAUGUCUGGGGGCUCCAAGGUGGAAAGACUUUAGUCUCCUGGGCCUGAAGGGGCAAGGGAAGCAACUGGCCAACCAUGACAACCUGGACCAGGGAGAAUAAACCUUUCCUCCUUCCUGUCUCCUCAGGGCCUCUCUUGUCAAGCGUCAGGAAGCCAGGGAACAAGGGAGCCAUUGAUGCCCUGGGUAGAUGGCAGCCUCCCCAGGGACAGGCCUGAGGAUGAUGGAGAGUGGAUCUGGAGGGGCCAGCCAUAGCACUGUUUCUUCCCUCUGGAAAGCCUAGGUGGGUUGUUAUUGCUCCAGAGAAGAUGGAAGAAGGAGGACAGGAGCUUCCUCCCUCAGCUCCUCACUGGCUCUGAUCCUAGUUCUUGAUUCCCACCUGUCCCGACAUAUCAGGUCGCUGCAGGAAUUGUCCACAGAGAAAUAAUGUCAGCCACUGAGUCAGUGUUUUUCUCAAACCCGGAAACUGCACCACUCCCGAACACACCCACAGGCAUGCUGUUGCCACUGUGGGUCCAGGACAGUCACCACAAGCCAUGGCAAGAAAAUGUACAUCUUGGCAGACUACUAUGCCAGUCAAUCAUAGGAAAAUGACAAAUGUCACAAUAAUGUCAAGCAUGCCCUGCCACAUAUAUGUACAGGAGACACCAUCAUGAUCAUCCACAUGAAAUCAC
Molecule: long non-coding RNA, 7310 nt
Filed under: Marmota monax (woodchuck)
Lineage: Eukaryota; Metazoa; Chordata; Mammalia; Rodentia; Sciuridae
Source: RNAcentral